GUUCUCCGGCACAGCUGGUCAGUGGAGCGGCCUGAUUGCUCCCGCUCGGACGAGGUCCUUGCUGAGCGGGCUGCAUUGGCGGGGAGGAGAAAGCAGCGCUGCUGGGGGAGGGGAGGAGGCUCCUCCACGAAGGCGGCUGUCCCAAGCUGCCCCCCUUUUGAAUGCCGUGUAUUUCCUUAACACCCCCCGCCCCGCACACACACAAAACCCGAGGGGAGAGUCUCCCAUUCGCUCACUGAAAGGCAGAACGAUCUCCUGCCUUGCAAGAGGAGGGAAGGACUUUGAAAGGCAUCUCCCGCCUGGGAGGCUUCCUCUCCGACAGCCAGGCUUGGCUGGGCUGCUCUGCCCGGCCCGCCCCCGAGGGGAGCAGUGGCAGGAGCCCCGCAGGCGGGCGGCGGGGGCUGGCUGGAGCGGGGCGGGCUCCUGCUCGGGAAGGCAGCGCCCCGCAGACCGCGCCGCAACUCGCCUCCCCUCCCCUCGGGUGGCAGCAGCAGCAGGAGCGGCGGCGGCGGCAGCGCCCGCUUCUCACCCCCGGCCGGGCUGGGGCUCGCCGCCCUCUCUCUUGGGACACGCGGACAAGCCGAGUGUCCAAUAAUGCAAUGGCUGGAGGACAAGAGAGCAUCAGAGUAAUUGGGUGGACAUGUUGGAUAUUAAUGGUAAUUCUGAUGGUGUGGAGUCACCAGACCAGUGGACAAGGGCAAGAUUUUUCAAAUUCUCAAAUAAAAGAACCUCAUCUCCUGUUACAAGAGGAGGGACAAUAUGGCAGUUUUCGUUUUAGCUUUGCAGGUCAAGUGAAGACUAUUGAUUUUGUAAACCUCUCCAGUUGAGCGAAAGCUGAACUUUUUCACCAGAGUUCCAAUCUCUGGGUUCACUUCCAAGGAAGUGGAGUGCACACAGCAGAGCCCUGUACCCUCAUAGAGUCUCAUUUAAGUCAAAGGGGCUCCAUGGAGGUGCACACGGUUUCCUGCAGACUUCCUGUAUUUUCCUGCAAGAUCAAGGUCUUAAUUGGUCCCAUUUCACAUCUUCAUACACUCUACUUUGCCUGAAAUGUCUGUCCACAUAUUAAAAACUCCUUAACCAAAGUUAUAUUUGUAAACCUGAGAAAAUUUUUAAAUCGGGAAUAUAAGGAAUUAAUUACAGGAAAAUAAAUGUGGAUAAAGGAGAUUUGGAACAGUUAUGAAGUAUCACCAACAUUAAAGAAUUAGUAGGCAAAAACAAACUCUCCUAAUUAGGUCAACAAAUAAAACGAACACAUGGAGAUUGUCUGCUAAAUGUGGUAAGAGCAUAUAUCAGAAAUUCAAAAUGAUGAAACCUAUACACAUACCAGAGUGACUAAGAAAGAGCCACACUUGUUUUGACUUUCCCUUUCUAGUAAUAGUCAAAGACAACAAUGUUGAUGGUUAAAUAGCAUUGAUUUUAGGUGUUAACCCUUGAAAGCAUGAUCUAAAGAGUACUUACAGUACAUUGUCUCUUUUGAGAGCCAUUAUUAAAUUCCUUCAGAAAACAUCUUUGCUUAAUACCUUCAAAAAAAUUGAGAGAGAGUGAGAGGACAGGAACUUUGGACAGAUCAUUUGAUUUUGGAAAGUGAGACUCAAAAGUGCCAAUAAUAAAAAGCUAUUGGUAUUUUAGCAUUCCUGUUCAUUAAGACGGUGUCCCACAUCCAUUAUAAAAUACAGGGUUUUUUUUAGGGGUUUACACUUAGUCAUAUAUAGACUUGUUUCAGGCUGAAAUUGGGCUCAUGUUGGAAGCAGAUUUCAUGUUAUCAGUUUUCAAACACAAAUCUUUAACCUUCAAUUAGUUGAGGAUUAGAACAAAUAUUGGCAUGUAUGUAUGUGUUAAACUGAAAAAUGGCUUUUAAUUGGGUGGAGGGAGCCACACAAUUCAGCAACAGCAGCAAAAUCUUUUUUAAAAGCAUUUUUUUCUCCCCCAGCCUUUGCUCUUGAGAUCACAGUGAAAAGAAACUAAAAACUGAAAUCUUAGUUUGGGCUGAACCUCAAUCAUUUUACGCUCACUUUUCAGAGGUACUGAGCACCUGCAGCCUCUGUUGACUUCAGUCAGGUUUGUGAAUGCUCAAAAUAAUUAUUCUCAAUACUCCUCAAAACAGUGUUCUUAAAAUGACUGUGUGAAGCUCUAACUCCUUUAGAGCUCCUGUUUCCUCUGAGUGUCAGGGAGUUGUGUUUGGACUUUCCUUGAGGCUUAGUCUAUGUGCAGUUUUUGUCCUGAUAUAACUAAGCUGAUUAAGAGUGAUUUUUUUAAAGUAACAUAUUUACACCAGCACAGCCCCUAUUUUGGGUGCAGUUAUAGAACUCUAAAGGUGCCUUACACCAGUAUGUCUUACUUCCUUUUCUGUACAUGAAGAAGCUGUAUGAGAAUAAGCAUAUUGUAUGUGAAGGUUGUGCUGCCUUAACUGUACCAGUAGAGUGGCAUAAUUUCCUUGUUUAGCCAAGGCCAAUGUGCUUGACUGUAUUUUCAGUUCCCAUCCCUGUGAACCUCUGAGAACUGUGAGUAAGAACUACUCCUUGGUUACUGGUGAUUAAGGAAGUGCUCUUCACCUUGUCCCAGACUUCAUAUUUAAAAAGAAAUGAUGGUCCAUAUUAGCAGCAACUACUGUAAAUGCUGUUUUUAUAAAUCUAAAUCCCUCUGACCCACAUAUAAUCCAACCUUUAGCUGGAGAAAGUUGACUUUUGUGUGUAAGUAACUUUGCUUAUGAUAUAUUGAAAUCUAAUAAUUCCAUAUUAGAAGGUU
Long non-coding RNA from Mauremys reevesii (Reeves's turtle), 2745 nucleotides. RefSeq lists it as uncharacterized. The transcript is spliced from 4 exons. The record is from RefSeq and is a predicted model, not a curated record. Lineage: Eukaryota; Metazoa; Chordata; Testudines; Geoemydidae.